AGGAGCAAGAGACCCUUAACCACUCAUGCCAAUCUCAAUUGGUAAUAGUAAUAUGAGUGUGUAAACCUUGAAGUUUAUUGUUUCUAAGCUUUUGCUUCCUUUCAGACCAGUGCUCCAUACCUUGCUGACUCACACUUGCUCACCCCACUUGCUCCUUGAUUGAGAAUCUCUACCAUCUCCCUUUUCAACCCCUCUCUCAUAUCGCUUCUGCAACUUUCUCUCUCCGCUGCUAAGCGCUUCCUCGCAGUGAAAAUUGUGAAUUCCUUUAAAUUUUCUCAUCUUCAUCAGAUCGUUAAGAGGCACAAGCUCAAGUGUGUUGUUCAAUCUCUGAACUCAUUCUUUAUGGUUUUGGGCACUCCAUCACUAGAGGAAAUUAAAUGUAUCAUGCCCCAACUUCACGGAAUUCAAAUUCCCUCAAACUAAAGCUCAUCCAUGGAAAAAGAUAUUCCACGAACGAAUGCCUGCUGAGGCUGUUGAUUUGGUUUCUAGGCAACGGGCAACUAUAGUAUUCUUCUAUCUUAAGGUGUUCAGCUAGUUGUAGACCUUGCUUGUAAGGAGAAGGCUUCACAAUUUCCUAUGAAUUUUUAUCAUGGGGAUUUGGGCCUCCACUUCAAUUAGCAAGAACGUAGAUAAGCGUGAAGAUCAUCAUCUUUAUCUGAAGAUGGAGUUCGCUGAACAUUCAUCACAACUCAAUCGGAAAAACAAUGGUUAAAGAUUAUUGCCACUAAUUUAAUUGAAUGGAGGAGGAGAAAUCCAUUUUGUUGAAGUUGAAUUCUUCCCCGGAGCCAUUGUGUCUGGCACUUAGCAACCGUAUUAGCAGAGCCGAGUCAGAGCUUGGACAAAGCACUUUAUCACCAAUCAUGGCUUCUAUGAGUGUUGGGGAUACUGUUGUUAUAUUAUCUCUCUCAUCUCCUCCUCUGCCUGCUGGGAUAAAAAGACUCUUGCCUUUCAUCGAGUCUUUCUUUGUUCUUUGUGAAAAGCUACAGUCAAGUAAUACAUUUGUUCAAGAAUCUGUUGAUGCUUCUUCCUUGGCACCUGAGAAACUGCGGUGGUGAUACUCAGAAAAGAUUUGACAGUGCUGUCAUAUUUUCAAGGUUUGCUGACAAACAUCAGUGACUUUUGCAUGCAUUUAUCAGUUAAAAUCCAGAGUUGCUGGAAAAAUUGGUGUCUAUAUAUGAUGCUGAAAGCACCUCGUCGUAUAGAUUUUGAUAACAAGAGGGCAUACUUUAGUUCUAAAAUCAGACAACAGCAUGAGCAACACCUUGCUGGGCCAUCCAGAACAAGUGUUCGCGGGUGUAUGUUUUUGAAGACUCGUAUAAUCAGCUGCGAAUGAGGUCCAAUCAGGAUCUGAACUCUGAAGGGCGAUUGUAUAGUUUCAAGGUGAAGAGGAAAUUGAUGCUGGUGGCCACACACGAGAGUAGUACCAGUUAUUGUCAAGGUUUAUCAUUGAUAAGGGAGCACUACUAUUCACCUCACCACAGCUGGUAAUAAUGCAAUCUUCAACUGAACGUCUAAGUACUUCAAUUUUUUUGCUUGUGUGGUAAGACUUCAAAAACAAUCUACAGUUCCUGUUUUUAUUUUGAUUCUUGAAUUUGUCGGUAUUCAUUAUAUCACGCAUUAAAAGAACUCCAUAAGUAAUGUUGCUUGUGAAAGAAAUAAUGCCCUUGGUCCAAGUAUGCAUUCUAUGUUAAGUCUAAUAAAUGCUGUUCAGUAUUAAUUAACAAGUUAAUAAUUCAGUGAGAUCAAGUGAGCUGAAUGCCUAGCUAGAGGCCGCUUCAGUUCAAGUGGAAUUAAUGAUAUUAAUCCACAGCUUACUCUUGACUGAACCCGUAGGGUCACACAAAUAGUACGUAAACGGAUCAAUUAUUUAAUGGCAUUAAAUACUCUAUCUAUGGAUAUUCGGAAUCGACGGAUCUUGGUUUCAGUGGGAGCUGAGAUCGUCACAAAGCAAGAAAUGAAUACUCCGGAAACGAUGAUAUUGCCGGAAACGGAAAUAUGGAUCGUAUCGGAAAUAUAAAUAUUAUCCAAGUCGUAGAUGUUGCCGGAAACGGAAACAUGGUACGUAUCGGAAAAUAUUAUCGGAAAUGAAAAUAUUGCCGGAAUCGGAAAUAUUGCCGGAAACGGAAAUAUUGUCAGAAUCGGAAAUAUUUCGGAAUCAGAAAAUAAUUCCGGAAACGGAAAUAUUAAAUAUUUGUUCGAAACGGAAAUUAAUUCCGGAAUCGGAAAUAUUAAAUAUUGUUCGCAUCGAAAAUGAAUUCCGGAAUCGGAAAUUUAAUCGGAAGCGUAUCGUAAGAAUUAGCAUCGGACGAGGCCCGCUAGACGAAGGCCCAGCACGAAGCCAGGCCCUCGCCCAGCGAGCCGCACGCACCAACGCACGCCUCAACCAAGCCCAGCGCAAGGCCAGGCCCAGCCAAGGGCGCGCGCGCGCAGCACAGCAGCGUGGGCUGUGCGCCUGUCGUGGGCCGCAAGGCUUGCGUGGGUGCACGGCUUGUGCGAUGCUUGUGCGGGAAAUCCUAAUUCUAUUAGGAUUUGUGAAAAGAUUAAAAUCCUAAUCCUACUAGAUUUGCUUUGUUAUUUAGAGUCCUAAUAAAGUUCUAAUUAGCAAAUCCACAUCCUAGUAGGAUUACAAUUCCUUUUCCAUACUCCUAUAAAUAGGUGCCUAGGGUCACAAUUUAUGGGUACAAUUGAAGUAUUCAAAGGGUAAGUUUUUGAAAUAAAAAUCAGCCAUACACUUGCAAACACUAGCCGAAAUUCCUAAGCACCUUAAGGGCGAUUCUAGUUGGUCUAACUUGAGGCGGAUCCGGACGUACUGUGGACUAUCUACAGAGGGACAACAUUUGGAGUCCUAAAGACUUGUUCUUGUUCGGUUCGGGCGCAGCUAGGAAAGGCACGCUACAACAUGUAUGCAUCUGUUCUAUGCUAAAUGAUUAUGUGUAAAUAAUAUGCUUUCCUGGCUUUAUGGUUUUUCCGCAUGAUUUAUGAAUUGUCAUAUGUAUCAUAACCUAACAGUGGUAUCACGAGCCUCUUAUUAUUUUCAUAAUCUAAAUUGCAUAAACAUGGUUAAAUAUUACAAAUUUGCAAGAAUUAAAAGGGGUGAUUAAUUUUCGUAAUUGUUAAUUAAUUGCAAAUUGCGUUUAUUUAAUUAUACGUACGCAGUUUUUCGGCAGUUUCUUCGUUACUCAUCCAAAUCGAGUGAUUUUUGUGUCAAUUCCGCAUGUAAAAGGCAUUCUAAAAUUUUGACAAAAUAGUAUUUUUCGGCCGGACCCAGAAUUCUCAAAUUCGAAGCCUAACUAUGACUUUUCGGAGGUUUUAGUUUUUCGAAUGCAAAAUUUCGUAAAUUUAAGAUGUUAAAUUAAAUAUUUGCGAUUCUUGUUGAUAAAUCUUGAAUUUUUGAUUGACCUACUGUAUAUGUUUAACAAGUUUGAAUGCCUAGCCUUGUUAAUUAUGCAAUCUAAUUCGUAAUUAUGAUUAAGUUGUUAAAAAUUGGAAUAAUUUAGAAUUAAUUUGAUUUUCAUAAUUAGUUAUAAUUUAAUUAGAUACCUAUGAUUAAAAACCACCAUAAAAAUUGUAAAUUUAUGUUAAAUUUUAAAUUUUUAUGACCUAGACUUGAAUCCAUGUUAAUCGGAAAUCAAUAAAUUAAUAAAUUUUCGAUUUUUCGCCCUAAAAUUAUGAAAUUAAUAUGAUUUAUUAAUUUGUCAUUAAUUUUGAAAAUAAAAUUUUUAAUUUUUAUGCGAUUCGCUCAUAUAACUUGCACGCACAAAGCAAUGGACGCUACGUGUUACCCUUAAGGGGUGUUGUAUAGUGCGGGCAUGCGACGACGAGCAAGGGAGCUCGUCGCCCAUGCGGUACGAAUGCAGCGAGCAAGGGCAUGGUGCUCGAGCACAAGGUAGGUGCCCUGCCUUGUGUCGUGGGCUGUGUGCGAUGGGCGCAUGGGCAAGGGCGAGAGCAAGGCACGAGCCGUCGCGUGUGGGCAGCAAGCGAGCUGCGCCACAGCGCGCACUGCCUCGCGUGCGACGAGCGCUGCGCCCAGCGAUGGUGAGCAGCAUGCUUGUUGCAACGAGUGCUGGCGCUGCGCCCAGCGAUGGUGAGCAGCGUGCGCGUGCGACGAGCGCCUGCGCCCAGCGAUGGUGAGCAGCGUGCUUGUUGCGACGAGCGCUGGCGCGCGCCUUGCGAUGGUGAGCAGCAGCGAUGCGACGCAGCGCAUGGGCUGCGCGCACAUGGCCAGCGAUGGCUGUAUGCGUGUGGCCUAUGGCUGUGCGUUGCGUGGGGUUGUUGCGUUACGAUUAGAUCGUUUUAAAAUUUUAAUUCGAUUCAGUUUUCGUAAUUUUAAUUAAUUUUAAAAUUAACAAUUUAAAUUGUUUUCUUGGAUUUUAAUUUUGAAUAUUAUAAUUAUAAUAAAUUUUAUUUAUUCUAAUUAUUUUACUAAAAUUAAAAUCAUGAAUUAAUUUAAAUACGACUGAAAAAUAAAUUAAAUAAGUGGAUUCAAUUAUAAAUUUAUAUGAGCUUUAAAUUUUAAUUAAAUUUGUAUGUUUCCGGUUAGACUAGAAAUACAUUUUAUGUUUAAAAUUAGUAAAGCAUAUGAAUUUAUUGGUUUAAGUGGGAGCCAUUUUAGUCAUAAACUCUUGAUUAGGUCUACAAAUCCUUAAGGUUAAAACAACUAGAUUAGAAUUAAUGAGGACUGGAUAAUUAAUAGAUUAUUGCUGCCCUUGAUUAAUUGCUGCAAAUGUUUAUGUGAUGCAUGAUGUGUUUUACUACCCAGCUAUGUGGGUCAUUCAUGAUAAUGAAUGGGUGAAUGGUAUAUAUUGUAUAUGUACUGUUUUGCAGGUUAUGAAGUGACUAGUAUGACCCAAAUAGGAUAGAAAAUAUGGUAUGCGUACCAUUAAUUUGAAUGUAAUUGGUCUAAAGUACCAAAAUUGUUUUUCAAUUCAAAUAUAGUCUGCGUACCAUCAAAUAAUUGUAAUUAGUUUUAAUUAUAGCUUAUCCUAUUUGAAGAAAAUGGUGCCUCCCACAGAGAUUUUCAAGACGGACUUUGAAGUUGAAGCUUCAAGAUGAAGUCGGGCCAUACUAGAUCACAUUUAUCUUAUGCAUGUUUUAAGUUAUUUAUUGCUUUUAAAUAUGUCUUAAAUAUGCAUGAGAUCAAAGCUUGAUUAUGUUGCAUGAUUAAGGAUUUUAGUUCACUUAAAAUCUAACCAACAUAGUAAGAGCCUUAAGUUCCAAACUUAAAAAUUGAGUUAAAAGGUGCCAUGCCAAAAUAUACACUUGCUUGGAUAUCCUUUACAUCAAUCUAGUAAUAGUUUUCGCUCAGCGAGGUGUUACUUAUUGGCCCUAAAGGGGCAAGGUACACAAAUAAUUGUGAUUACAUGUUAGUUUUGGUGAAACUCAACAAUAUAAGUAAGGAGUCCUUUUAUGUCGUGGCAAAAUCGAUAGGUUUACCUAAUAAGUUCUUAGACGUACCUAUCAACCAAGAAUAGUUUCUAGACUAUUAGCAAAAGGCUUUUGCUUACCUAAGAUGUUUUAGGAUUAAGUCGACAAACUGUGCUUAAUUCUUCAAUGAUUUUAGGAUCUUGGAAUCAUUUUAUUCACACCUGCCGGAACACAUAACUUGAAUAAAAUGCUUAAUGAACAUUGAAUUAUGCAUGUAUGCUAGAAUUUAAGUUUAUUAAGAGAAACUGUGAAUGGUUAUUUAUUUGUUUAUUCUUUUCAAUUGUAGUUUUAACUAUGGCAAACAACAAUUCAUUCAACAUUCGGUCAAUUCUCGAAAAGGAGAAGUUGAGCGGGAAAAACUUCCUUGACUGGCAAAGGAACUUGCAAAUAGUUCUUAUGCAGGAAGAAAAGGAGUAUGUCCUAGAUGAGGCGAUGCCCGAAGCCGCAGGCGACGGGGUCACUCAGGCAGCCCUCAAUCGUUGGAUUGAUGCCAACUGGGAUGUGAAAUGUCUAAUGCUCGCCACCAUGAGUGCAGAUCUGCAGAAAACGUUCAUCAACUCAGAUGCUUUCGCAAUCAUCAGUGAGUUGAAGAACAUGUUCUAAGAUCUGGCUCGAGUCGAAAGAUUCGAGACUCAUAGGCAAAUUCUUGAGACCAAGCUUAAGAAAGGCGAGCCCGUAAGUCCACAUGUUCUCAAAAUGAUUGGACUCAUUGAGAAUAUGAGUCGACUGGAUUAGCAAUUCUCUCAGGAAAUGGUUGUAGACACCAUCCUCCAUUCUCUUCAUAACGGGUAUGAUCAGUUUAAACUGAACUACAGUAUGAAUAGUCUGAACAAAACGCUCACUGGGCUUCACGGUAUGCUGAAAACCGCUGAAAAGACGCUCAAAAGUGAUAAGCAAGAUGUGCUUAUGGUGCGUGGGGGCAAGUUCAAGAAAUCUGGAAAGAAGAGGAAUGCUAAGAGAGGUGGCAACAAGGCCAGCCCAACUAAGCAAACUGGCGCCAAGUCUGAAAAGAGGAAGGUCAGUCAACCCACUUCUGAAUCCGAAUGCUUCUACUGCAAGAAGAAGGGGCAUUGGAAAAGAGAUUGCUUGAAGCUAAAGGAAGAUCAGAAGAACGGAACAGUCGUUCCAACUUCAGGGACUAAGAAGAAGUAGCAAGGGUGAAGUCGACCUACGAGUGGUAAAUGGAGCACGGAUUGCUGCAUUAGCUGUAAGAACUUAUUAUUUGUCGUUGCCCUCCGGGCUAGUUUUGGAACUGGAAGAAUGU
Molecule: RNA transcript, 6688 nt
Organism: Spinacia oleracea (spinach)
Lineage: Eukaryota; Viridiplantae; Streptophyta; Magnoliopsida; Caryophyllales; Amaranthaceae
Gene name: E3 ubiquitin-protein ligase UPL1-like
Exons: 7
Source: RefSeq, a predicted model, not a curated record